GGAGUCUGGGCCGUGUCUCAGUCCCAAUGUGGCCGUUCUACCUCUCAGUACGGCUACCGAUCGUCGCUUUGGUGAGCCGUUACCUCACCAACUGGCUAAUCGGACGCGAGCCCAUCUUCAAGUGGUAAACCUUUGAUAGCAUCAUCAUGCGGUGACGCUAUGUUAUGAGGUAUUAGUGGUCGUUUCCAGCCAUUAUUCCUCGCUUGAAGGCAGGUUGCUCACGUGUUACUCACCCGUCCGCCACUAACUUGAAGGAGCAAGCUCCUCCUCGUCCGUUCGACUUGCAUGUGUUAAGCGUGCCGCCAGCGUUCGUCCUCGAGCCAUGAUCAAACUACU
This 336-nucleotide ribosomal RNA is filed under the name uncultured Ruminococcus sp. RNAcentral's name for it is "partial 16S ribosomal RNA". The record is from RNAcentral. Lineage: Bacteria; Bacillati; Bacillota; Clostridia; Eubacteriales; Oscillospiraceae.